This 443-nucleotide ribosomal RNA is filed under the name uncultured bacterium. Its description in RNAcentral is "partial 16S ribosomal RNA". It matches the Rfam family "Bacterial small subunit ribosomal RNA", at positions 338 to 795 of the family's 1533-position model. The record is from RNAcentral.
CCUACGGGUGGCAGCAGUGGGGAAUAUUGGGCAAUGGGCGCAAGCCUGACCCAGCAACGCCGCGUGAAGGAAGAAGGCCUUCGGGUUGUAAACUUCUUUUGUCAGGGACGAAGCAAGUGACGGUACCUGACGAAUAAGCCCCGGCUAACUACGUGCCAGCAGCCGCGGUAAUACGUAGGAGGCAAGCUUUAUCCGGAAUUACUGGGCGUAAGGGGCGUUAAGGCGGGGAAGCAAGUUAGAGGGGAAAACCACGGGCUUAACCUAGGGGCUGGUUUUAAAACUGCUUUUCUUGAGUGCAGGAGAGGAAAUCGGAAUUCCGUGUGUAGCGGUGAAAUGCGUAGAUAUACGGAGGAACACCAGUGGCGAAGGCGGAUUGCUGGACAGUAACUGACGCUGAGGCACGAAAGUGUGGGGAGCAAACAGGAUUAGAUACCCGAGUAGUC